This 478-nucleotide ribosomal RNA is filed under the name uncultured bacterium. RNAcentral's name for it is "partial 16S ribosomal RNA". It matches the Rfam family "Bacterial small subunit ribosomal RNA", at positions 28 to 523 of the family's 1533-position model. The record is from RNAcentral.
GAUGAACGCUGACAGAAUGCUUAACACAUGCAAGUCUACUUGAUUCUACUUCGGUAGUUGAUGGUGGCGGACGGGUGAGUAACGCGUAAAGAAUCUGCCCUUUAGUUUGGGAUAACCUUUGGAAACGAAGGCUAAUACCGGAUAUUAUGGAGACGUCGCAUGACGACUACAUGAAAGCUAUAUGCGCUAGAGGAGGACUUUGCGUCCCAUUAGUUAGUUGGUGAGGUAAUGGCUCACCAAGACCGCGAUGGGUAGCCGGCCUGAGAGGGUGAUCGGCCACAAGGGAACUGAGACACGGUCCUUACUCCUACGGGAGGCAGCAGUGGGGAAUAUUGGACAAUGGGCCACAAGCCUGAUCCAGCAAUUCUGUGUGCACGAUGAAGGUCUUCGGAUUGUAAAGUGUUUUCAGUAGGGAAGAAAAAAAUGACGGUACCUACAGAAGAAGCGACGGCUAAAUAUGUGCCAGCAGCCGCGGUAA